Podarcis muralis (Common wall lizard) is the source of this 1332-nucleotide non-coding RNA. The record is from RefSeq and is a predicted model, not a curated record. Lineage: Eukaryota; Metazoa; Chordata; Lepidosauria; Squamata; Lacertidae.
ACAAAGGAGCCCGGCUUAGCAGCAUCCUUCCUGCCGCGGCUUCGGGGGGAGGAAGAAGAGAGCGCGGUGGGGGUCGCAUCCUUUCCACCGGAGGGGGGGUCCUUAACCAUCCCCCCCCCCAGAAAAGUAGGGUAAUAAUUGGACUUUUCCUUGGGAUCCGGCGCGUGCAGGCUUCCGAGUUUAACAGAGCUCUUUGUCACCAGCGCAUCCUUCCCUAAUUCUGAAACAGUGGCUCUCAAACUUUUCCUCCGCGGGCCACACUUAAAAGAUAUUUGCUCGCGCCAUGCCGACUUCUUUUAUUGGGAAGAAAUAAGCAGAAAUAAAUAAGAUUCUAUGAUUAUAUGAAAUACAUUGGGAAAGCAAAAGAAGCCACUCCUAGCCCAAGUCUUCUCCAGCACUCUGUUUGAACUGCGACGAUUCUGGAUCACAACUAGGAUUGUCUGCAGUGUCACUUAAUGUUCCUGCUAUCCUUUAAAACAAUAUUUAAACAUCCGUUUUCUGAAGAAAAAAAUUAAAAAGUGUUUUGAUACUAUAUGAAAUGCUUUUUUUUGUCCUUGAAUCUUCCCACCCCGGUUGCCACCUUCUCAUGCCACACCAGUGUGGCAGCUGCUGCCCCAUUUGAGUAACACUGUUCUGAGAUCACCACCACUGGAUUGGUGGAUUGUUGUGGAUUCAAUUAUUGUAGGACCCCGUUCAGCAAGAGAGUUCCUAGAAGACCGUUCUGAGAAGAGGACGAAGAGCAGAAAGUCCCCCAUUUGCCCCUGGCACACACAGACAUGACGCACCCCUUCCAAAAGUGGCUGUGAAGAUGUCCCAUUGCUGUUUCCACCAUUCAACACUCUCUCACGCAGAGACACUUCUGUUCUCUGCAUUGACAGUUAAAGGGACAUCUGGAAUUUCUCUCAGCCAAAUUUAGCCCCGGCCGGGGUCUUCCGUUGCUGAUAUCUGGUUUCCAGAGCUGUCAUUUAUACAGAGCAAAGCAAGGAGGGACCAAUUUCAACACUGUAAAAAAAGGCAGCGGUGCUGCUAAGGAAGGUUUUGGAGCAGAACUCCAGGACCGUACUCAGAAGGAGAAACAGGAAGGUCCUCAAAGACAGCAGGGAUGGCUUACCAUAUUUUGAAACAAAGAGAUUUGAAAGAGAUCCAUGUAGAUCCAGCCACACAUGUAUACUGAUAUCUCAAGGAGUUCUGCAGUUUCAUACACCACAAGGAUCCUACAGAGCCAACAUGUGCAAUGACCAAUGUGUGCAUUCUCUGGGACCAUUCUAUUCUCCAGAGAAUGACUGGCGUGUGUGUGUGUGUGUGUGUGUGUGUGUGUGUGUGUGUGUUUCA